This 497-nucleotide ribosomal RNA is filed under the name uncultured bacterium. RNAcentral's name for it is "partial 16S ribosomal RNA". It matches the Rfam family "Bacterial small subunit ribosomal RNA", at positions 28 to 507 of the family's 1533-position model. The record is from RNAcentral.
GAUGAACGCUGGCGGCGUGCCUAAUACAUGCAAGUCGAGCGAACGGACGAUAUGCUUUCUUCUCUUAUGUUAUCGGCGGACGGGUGAGUAAAACGUGUAUAACCUACCUAUUAGACUGGGAUAACUUCGUGAAGCCGGAUCUAAUACCGGAUAAUAUUUUGAACCGCAUGGUUCAAAAGUGAAAGACGGUCUUGCUUUCACUUAUAGAUGGAUCCGCGCUGCAUUAGCUAGUUGGUAAUGUAACGGCUUACCAAGGCAACGAUGCAUAGCCGACCUGAGAGGGUGAACGGAUAGCCGGGAACUGAGAAAGGGUCGAGACACCGAAGGGAAGAAGCAGUAGGGAAUCUUACGCGAUGGGCGAAAGACUGACGGAGCAAAGCCGGGUGAGUGAUGAAGGACUUAGGAUCGUAAAACGAUGUUAUUAGGGAAGAACAUAUGUGUAAGUAACUGUGAACAUCUUGACGGUAACUAAUCAGAAAGCCACGGCUAACUACGUG